AUCAGGGUGACUGCGUACCUUUUGUAUAAUGGGUCAGCGACUUAUAUUCUGUAGCAAGGUUAACCGAAUAGGGGAGCCGGAGGGAAACCGAGUCUUAACUGGGCGUUAAGUUGCAGGGUAUAGACCCGAAACCCGGUGAUCUAGCCAUGGGCAGGUUGAAGGUUGGGUAACACUAACUGGAGGACCGAACCGACUAAUGUUGAAAAAUUAGCGGAUGACUUGUGGCUGGGGGUGAAAGGCCAAUCAAACCGGGAGAUAGCUGGUUCUCCCCGAAAGCUAUUUAGGUAGCGCCUCGUGAAUUCAUCUCCGGGGGUAGAGCACUGUUUCGGCAAGGGGGUCAUCCCGACUUACCAACCCGAUGCAAACUGCGAAUACCGGAGAAUGUUAUCACGGGAGACACACGGCGGGUGCUAACGUCCGUCGUGAAGAGGGAAACAACCCAGACCGCCAGCUAAGGUCCCAAAGUCAUGGUUAAGUGGGAAACGAUGUGGGAAGGCCCAGACAGCCAGGAUGUUGGCUUAGAAGCAGCCAUCAUUUAAAGAAAGCGUAAUAGCUCACUGGUCGAGUCGGCCUGCGCGGAAGAUGUAACGGGGCUAAACCAUGCACCGAAGCUGCGGCAGCGACACUGUGUGUUGUUGGGUA
RNAcentral lists this ribosomal RNA (642 nucleotides) under Escherichia albertii. RNAcentral's name for it is "partial 23S ribosomal RNA". It matches the Rfam family "Bacterial large subunit ribosomal RNA", at positions 587 to 1230 of the family's 2925-position model. Lineage: Bacteria; Pseudomonadati; Pseudomonadota; Gammaproteobacteria; Enterobacterales; Enterobacteriaceae. The record is from RNAcentral.